This 485-nucleotide ribosomal RNA is filed under the name Chaetosphaeriaceae sp. UFMGCB 2246. RNAcentral's name for it is "eukaryotic LSU rRNA". The stretch from base 134 to 288 matches the Rfam family "5.8S ribosomal RNA". The record is from RNAcentral. Lineage: Eukaryota; Fungi; Ascomycota; Sordariomycetes; Chaetosphaeriales; Chaetosphaeriaceae.
GACGUCACACUCCCGUAAACCACCGUGAACCUACCUAUCGUCGUUGCCUCGGCGGGUGCUCCGGCGCCCGCCGUAGGCCUUCUACUCUUGUCUACACAGUUGGCAUCUCCGAGCAAUCUAGCAAACGAGUCAAAACUUUCAACAACGGAUCUCUUGGUUCUGGCAUCGAUGAAGAACGCAGCGAAAUGCGAUAAGUAAUGUGAAUUGCAGAAUUCCAGUGAAUCAUCGAAUCUUUGAACGCACAUUGCGCCCGCCGGCACUCCGGCGGGCAUGCCUGUUCGAGCGUCAUUUCAACCCUCAGGCCCGGCCUGGCGUUGGGGCCCUGCACCGCAGGCUCCUAAAGACAGCGGCGGGUGCGGCCCGGAGCCGAGCGCAGUAGCUUACUAUUCGCUCUGGUACCGGGCAGCACUCCGGCCGUAAAACCCCCCCUUUAUGCACUGGUUGACCUCGGAUCAGGUAGGAAUACCCGCUGAACUUAAGCAUAU